AGCUUCCCGGCGACGUAGGCGUAGCGCCGCCAAGAGGUCAGCAACGAGGAGGUUCACCAGUCCGUUUCGUCGUCCUCGUCCCUAGGCGUCUGUUGCUGGAGAGAAGGACGCCAAGGCCCAGCAGUUUGUGACGGCCCCACCGGACGACGGACCCGGCGGGACAGCGGGCUCUAGCUUUCUCUCCCUUCUUCUUCAUCUGGACAGAGAAUGACUCUGCUCAGAUGCAUAGUCAGGCAACUCACCGGAGAGAGCUGGGAUGGAGGCGACUCUGAGGAAGAUGAAGGCCAAGAGCGGUGCCGCUGCCGGGGAGAGGAGGCCGGUGCUGUCGAGGACAAUACUGCUCCUCUGCGCCUGCAGCUUCAUCCUUGGCGUGCUCUUCACCGACCGGUUCAGAGCGAUGCCGGAUUUAAAGAGCCAGGUGGUGGCGCAGCUGCGGUGACAGGAAGAGGAGCUGCAGAUCGUUUCUGAAGAUUUUGUUGCGAUCGACAGCAUCCAUUUUUUGGCUCCUGGUUUAUUUCAGAAAAAGAACAAACGAGGUUUUUGAAGAUAAUAUAAAAUCAUGUUAUUUUUUAAAGAGCGAGUUAUGGAGUGAAAAUGGAUAUUUUAAUAAGAAGAUAAUCCUGAUGUUCUUCAGUUUCCUCUUUGGUUUGUAAUUCUGUGAACAUCCUUUCUUGAUUUCAGAAACCAUCCUACGACAGGGACGUGAUGGGGAAGUGGCAAAGACUCAUGAGGCCAUACACAUGGGAUUAGGACGACACACUAUGCCAUGUACACAAAAGGGAGGCAUGGAAGUGGACGUUGAGCAAACAGACGGGGUUCCUCAUCCCCAAGAAAACCCUAGCCUAGCGCUCUGGGAUGAUGUUGGUGAUCGCGCCGGCGCCGGCCUGGGCCCAAAGGCGCGCUUCGUCCUUGAUGGUGGAGCACAGGUGGGAGACAGAGGGUCGGUCCCCGUCGAAGGUGCAGCUGUUUCUAUGCUUCCAAAUCCACCAAGCGGUGAGGAUGAUGAGGGAGGAUAGGCCUUUACGCAUGGCAGCGGGCGCGAGAGCACAAGAAGAGGCCCAACGAUGCAACACCUGCUGGCUGGCUGCUCCUUCUCCCGCCAGGUGUGGUACGAUGUUCUUGCUUGGGCUUGCUUCCCCACCGAUCUGCCGACCGGAGACACCGACUUGAAUAUUGAAAAAUGAUCUGAAUUGUUUGCACUUCUGCGUUAUAUAUCUAUUGGGGGACUAAUUGGAAUAUAUCAUAAUUGUAUCUAGAUAUUUAGACAAGUUGAUCGCCACGCUGCAGAUGGAGUUGGCAGCGCGGUUCAGCAAGCAUGAGCUGCUUGAGAGUGCGGAUGGCAAGGCAGGAAAGGAAAAAGGCUUUUAUGGUGAGCAGGAUCAAUACCGCGUUCAGUAGCAAGAAGCGCCGUGAUUCUGUCAGGGAGAGAUGGAUGCCUCAAGGUUCAUUACUUUGCAAUGUUGUCUCCCUUGUUUUGGCUGUUUUGGCCUAGCUGUUGCUUUCUGCAUUUCUUGUUCUUAGUUAGAUCAAUGCAGAGGGAUGUGUUUUUAAUCAACUAGGAUUAUGACGUGCAAAUAGCAAGGAAAUAACAGAGAAAUGUGCAAGUACGAAAUCAAGGGAUCAGAUAGGAUCAUCUAUCGUCCCAGCAAAUAGAAUCAACUAAAUGUGAUUUUUUAUCAUCAUAACAACUAGAAUAAUCAGGUAGGUUUAUUUAACAUCAUAGCUGCCUUGGGUCAUACAGUUUGUUUGUUGCCUGCAUACUUUCUUCUAAGAGCUGAGCUAUUUAGAUUGGGGUGGAUCAUUUAGUUGUCUGGCAUUUAUUUUUAUUUCACCACAUAUAUCUCAUCGUUGUUUAUCAGAUGAGAAACUCAAGAAACUGGAAGAGGAAAAGGGAGUCGUCAUUCGAUUUAUGAUUGGGCAUAGGUAAGGUUACUGGCACUAAGGUUCAAUAUAUAAUAACUUGUUUGCUGAAAAAAAAUCAUAAGAUGAGGUCCCGUAAAAGACAAAUCGUAACAUAGAACACAUAUAUUGUAAAUAUCUCCAUGUAAAGCUUACAUAUUUUAGACAAUAAAAGGAACCCGUAAAGCCUCAAUGUUAUAAACAGGUGCAGAUGGGGUUUCCCUAAUUCCCUAUCUUUAAACAGGACACCACUUGUCUAAUUGGACAGUAAGUAGAUAAGGACAUAAAUCUGCUAUUCGUUGUGCAGCUAUGAGUCAACUGUGCAUGAACUGAAAAGGGAAGAUUGAACAAGUUCUGAGCUGCUAUCUGGAACCAUAAGUAUGCAAGUUUUACAAAAUAGUUUGGAUGAAAAAGCAAAACAAUACAAGGAGCCUGCGUAGAUGCACAUAUUUUUGAUGAAUAACACUCAUUUUAGUGUUAUAUCUCAGCUUGUAUGUCAGUAAGUGUGUAAGUUUAGUCUAAUACUCGCUUUUCUUUUUCCUCAGAUCAAAAGCCAAGGAUUUGUUGGGUGAUAGCUUGAUUCUAAGGCAUUAAUAGAUUUACAACACUUCCAAAAAUUUACUGGCAUUUUGUAUUAUAUUUAUUCAAGUCGCUGAUUGAUUCUUGACCAUCACUUGAUCAACUAUAUUCAUUUUCUAAUACAAAGCCACUUCGCUAAUUAUCUUAUGACUAUUGAAGGGUUUAAAAUAUUCAGGUAUUUCAAGUGACCAACAAGUGUUAUUUCAGUAAUUUGAAAUCUCCUGUAUUCAGAGUUUAGUCAACUCUUAGUCAUGUUCUUUAAUAAUCAUUAGGUCUAAUAAAAGUUUAGAACGAUGCACUAUUUUCCUGAAUUUUGACUAGGCAAGUGCAUCUUUGGUUGCGCCGAUCGGAUCGGAUUCAAUGCGUACAUCGUAUUGAUGGACUGCUGACCGCUUCAUCUGGUGUUUCCUCUGUCGUGUGAGUUGCAUGUUGUUUUGAGAGCUUGAAGCAAGCAGAAAGCCGAUGGAGGGGCUUAGGGAUGAUGAAAGCAUUAGUGACGACAUCAGGCGAGAGAGUAUCGAGACUGCAAAUCGCUUUCCUGUUUCUGCAUUUCUUACUGUAUAUGUAACUUUGGCAGUAUUCAGAUCGUAUAGCCUACGGGGAGCAGUGGAAAACAUAAUUUGUUGAUGCUUAAAAUUUGGAGUGGUAUGUUUGAUACAUCUGCACUGUUGACACGGUCUUCUUUAAUGAAUAACAAGGUAGUACAGUAGAAUUGUAACUUUAGAGCCCUGCAAACUGUCUGUGCAAAUUAUGAUGCUGGUUUAUAGAACUAAAUUUGUGGUGUGCCUGUAUUUUAUCUUUAGUUGUAGGUUUCUCGGAAGCUUUACUGUGGGCUGUGUUACUUGCCAAACAAGUUCUAAGCACAAGUCAGAUCCUUUCAUGGCUUCCCUUAUAAGAUGAUAUACAAGGAAGUUUAUUGCUUAGUGUAAUUAGACAAGUGCUUGGAUUAUUCUGUAGUGAAAAUAAUGUGAUUUUCCAUCUUCUUUCUGUUCUUAGAUCAGCUCACCUUAGGCCUUAGCCAUACAAAGUAAUUUGUGAAGAUAUAUGUUCCUUAGUUUGAUCCCACCUUCCCUGAUUAAACAUAUGUCGUU
RNAcentral lists this ribosomal RNA (3569 nucleotides) under Triticum aestivum (bread wheat). Its description in RNAcentral is "partial small subunit ribosomal RNA". Lineage: Eukaryota; Viridiplantae; Streptophyta; Magnoliopsida; Poales; Poaceae. The record is from RNAcentral.